RNAcentral lists this ribosomal RNA (253 nucleotides) under uncultured bacterium. RNAcentral describes it as "partial 16S ribosomal RNA". It matches the Rfam family "Bacterial small subunit ribosomal RNA", at positions 524 to 776 of the family's 1533-position model. The record is from RNAcentral.
GACAGAGGUGCCGAGCGUUAGGCGGAAUCACUGGGCUUAAAGCGUGUGUAGGCGGGCGAUCAAGUACCUUGUGAAAUCCCACGGCUCAACCGUGGAACCGCUGGGUAUACUGGUUGUCUUGAGCCGGCUAGGGGCGAGCGGAACAGACGGUGGAGCGGUGAAAUGCGUAGAUAUCAUUUGGAACGCCAAUGGUGAAAACAGGUAACUGGGAGUGUGCUGACGCUGAGACACGAAAGCCAGGGGAGCAAACGGG